This 218-nucleotide unclassified non-coding RNA is filed under the name Mycena rebaudengoi. RNAcentral's name for it is "partial internal transcribed spacer 2". The record is from RNAcentral. Lineage: Eukaryota; Fungi; Basidiomycota; Agaricomycetes; Agaricales; Mycenaceae.
AAUUAUCAACCUUGCUCGCCUUUACCGGCUUGAGCUGAGGCUUGGACGUGGGGGUUUUUGCUGGCUUCCUUCAGUGGAUGGUCUGCUCCCCUUAAAUUCAUUAGCGGGAUCUCUUGUGGACCGUCACUUGGUGUGAUAAUUAUCUAUGCCGUUUGACCUUGAAGCAAAUUUAUGGGACCCUGCUUAUAACCGUCUCUUACCGGGACAAUUUAAUAACA